Molecule: ribosomal RNA, 250 nt
Filed under: uncultured bacterium
Lineage: Bacteria
Description: partial 16S ribosomal RNA
Rfam family: Bacterial small subunit ribosomal RNA
Source: RNAcentral
UAAGGAAUAUUGGUCAAUGGACGAAAGUCUGAACCAGCCAUGCCGCGUGAAGGAUGAAUGCCCUCUGGGUUGUAAACUUCUUUUAUAUGGGACGAAAAAAGAUCUUUCUAGGUCACCUGACGGUACCAUAUGAAUAAGCACCGGCUAACUCCGUGCCAGCAGCCGCGGUAAUACGGAGGGUGCAAGCGUUAUCCGGAUUCACUGGGUUUAAAGGGUGCGUAGGUGGGUUGGUAAGUCAGUGGUGAAAUCU